This is a long non-coding RNA of Labrus mixtus (cuckoo wrasse), 719 nucleotides long. RefSeq lists it as uncharacterized. NCBI's taxonomy places the organism in Eukaryota, Metazoa, Chordata, Actinopteri, Labriformes, Labridae. The transcript is spliced from 2 exons. The record is from RefSeq and is a predicted model, not a curated record.
UCAACAACCCAUGCAGUAGCCUCAUAGACUGUGGGUACCAUUCAUAUCGACUUACGGCGAGCAUGGUGAGCACCCAAUGGGUUUAGGACCCGGAUCCAGGCCGGAAGAAGCAUAACAAGAAACGUCUCGUCGUCGUCACCCAGGUCAUCACUCGCCCAGCAUCAUCAUCACAAUUAUCAGCAUCAUCCUCCUCCACCUCUGAGGUAGGCGCCAUCUCCGGGUCCAGCCUUAAAAUUACAUCGAUGCUGCGCCGUCAUGAUGUCUUAUCUCAGCCCACCAGCUCUAAUAAUGUGUUUCAGUGUGUUAGUUAGCGGGCAAACAGCGGACUCCGUAUCAAAUGAGAGGCCUUAUGUGGUCCUACAGAAGCAGAAUUUAGUCACACUGGGGAGUGUCCUCGCAGUUCUGCUGGUGUUGAUGCUGAUCAUGGCUGUGUGUGUUUACAAACCGCUGUCCCGUCGGUGAAAACGGGCCUGAACAAACAGAUGGAGAACAAACCUGCUUGUCCGCCCGGGCUAAGUGACACUGCACAUAUGGCAAACCCUGGCCACACUCAGCACACCGAGGAGUUCAGCCCUGGGUCAGUAGAUCCAGGCUAUCCAAGCUUAAGCUAUGAUUAACUGAAAAUACCCAGACUGCUGGAGCUGGCUCUGCAAGGAAAUCAGGUCUUUAACUUUAAGCCCUAUACUAUAUCAACUAUCUUUAAUUUUGUAUUUAUUUUA